UUUACAGCCCUUGGGGAAGAGGAGAGGCUCAUCAAAUUUCAAUAUCUUGGUUUCCCUACAAUUAGGGAAGCCGGAGCCUCCCAAACAGGGUCUUCAACUACUUAGAGGAGGCCCACCAUAUUAUGGAGGACCAUCUGCUUUCCUCUGUCUACUGAUUCAAAUGUUAAUCUCAUCCAGAAACACCCUCCCGGACACAUCCAGGGUUCCCACUAUUCUAGCGGAAACCGUGUCCAAAGCUGCUUUCCACCCAAGAACAGGGGACAUCCCAAGAAGGCAGCGGAAGCCUGAAUACGCGGGACCAGCCAAGGGGGGCCCACUGCUUUUCUCCUCUUUCCCACGCGCCCACGGCCAACCCCUUCCAAGCCCAGAAACCAGAGAGCAGCGAAGACGCCUGUCCAUCGUCCGUGUCCAGAAGGCCCAGCUGAGAUCUGUUUCAACGCACCCACAUGAGAGGGUUUCCAGUGUGUUUACCCAGUUGCCAUGGCUUUGCUUUCUGCGUCAGGCGCUCUGUCUGUCAGACACGACAAUUGAAUAAUAUUUUUAUUUUUA
This is a long non-coding RNA of Neofelis nebulosa (Clouded leopard), 549 nucleotides long. RefSeq lists it as uncharacterized. The record is from RefSeq and is a predicted model, not a curated record. Lineage: Eukaryota; Metazoa; Chordata; Mammalia; Carnivora; Felidae. The transcript has 3 exons.